RNAcentral lists this ribosomal RNA (608 nucleotides) under Vibrio sp. TA58. RNAcentral's name for it is "bacterial SSU rRNA". It matches the Rfam family "Bacterial small subunit ribosomal RNA", at positions 172 to 775 of the family's 1533-position model. The record is from RNAcentral. Lineage: Bacteria; Pseudomonadati; Pseudomonadota; Gammaproteobacteria; Vibrionales; Vibrionaceae.
CAUAAUAGCUUCGGCUCNAAGAGGGGGACCUUCGGGCCUCUCGCGUCAGGAUAUGCCCAGGUGNGAUUAGCUAGUUGGUGAGGUAAAGGCUCACCAAGGCAACGAUCCCUAGCUGGUCUGAGAGGAUGAUCAGCCACACUGGAACUGAGACACGGUCCAGACUCCUACGGGAGGCAGCAGUGGGGAAUAUUGCACAAUGGGCGCAAGCCUGAUGCAGCCAUGCCGCGUGUAUGAAGAAGGCCUUCGGGUUGUAAAGUACUUUCAGCAGUGAGGAAGGCGGAUGCGUUAAUAGCGUAUUCGUUUGACGUUAGCUGCAGAAGAAGCACCGGCUAACUCCGUGCCAGCAGCCGCGGUAAUACGGAGGGUGCGAGCGUUAAUCGGAAUUACUGGGCGUAAAGCGCAUGCAGGUGGUGUGUUAAGUCAGAUGUGAAAGCCCGGGGCUCAACCUCGGAAUAGCAUUUGAAACUGGCACACUAGAGUACUGUAGAGGGGGGUAGAAUUUCAGGUGUAGCGGUGAAAUGCGUAGAGAUCUGAAGGAAUACCAGUGGCGAAGGCGGCCCCCUGGACAGAUACUGACACUCAGAUGCGAAAGCGUGGGGAGCAAACAG